This 467-nucleotide ribosomal RNA is filed under the name uncultured bacterium. Its description in RNAcentral is "partial 16S ribosomal RNA". It matches the Rfam family "Bacterial small subunit ribosomal RNA", at positions 28 to 506 of the family's 1533-position model. The record is from RNAcentral.
GACGAACGCUGGCGGCGUGCUUAACACAUGCAAGUCGAACGGAAAGGCCCUGCUUUUGUGGGGUGCUCGAGUGGCGAACGGGUGAGUAACACGUGAGUAACCUGCCCUUGACUUUGGGAUAACUUCAGGAAACUGGGGCUAAUACCGGAUAGGAGCUCCUGCUGCAUGGUGGGGGUUGGAAAGUUUCGGCGGUUGGGGAUGGACUCGCGGCUUAUCAGCUUGUUGGUGGGGUAGUGGCUUACCAAGGCUUUGACGGGUAGCCGGCCUGAGAGGGUGACCGGCAACAUGGGGACUGAGAUACGGCCCAGACUCCUACGGGAGGCAGCAGUGGGGAAUAUUGCACAAGGGGCGGAAGCCGGAUGCAGCAACGCCGCGUGCGGGAGGACGGCCUUCGGGUUGUAAACCGCUUUCGCUUGUGACGAAGCGUGAGUGACGGAAAUGGGUAAAGAAGCACCGGCUAACUACGU